Molecule: transfer RNA, 78 nt
Filed under: Microbispora rosea subsp. rosea
Lineage: Bacteria; Bacillati; Actinomycetota; Actinomycetes; Streptosporangiales; Streptosporangiaceae
Description: tRNA-Ser
Source: RNAcentral
CGUAUCGGGUGGCCGACGCGGACGUGGCCGCCUGGCGGGAGGCCGGGGGCGGCCGGUCCGACGCCGACCUCGUGCGGC